AGCUGCUGCCUCAUGGAGGUGAAUUUCCCACGACCUUCUCUUGGGCACCACAAACACAACAACGCGGACGCCGACGUCCACUUCAGCAGAGCAACUACGUCCAUGGUUAGCGUCCUGCGCAUCGCACACGAACACAAGCUCAGAGAGAGCGCGCGCUUUCUCUUUUUUUUUUAAUCUCCGCUCUCCUUGCUCUUGAGGUGAGCCACUCAUCAACCCUCUGCCUGACCCCCAUCUCCGAACGCAGAAGUGGUGUUCCCUUGGCACGGUCACUGGCACCGCUACCGCAGCCCCCUACUUCCAUCUAGAUGGGUGAGGCUGACUGCCGCCCGCUGCUUUCGAGCAGCCGCGAGAACCCGCCACCAUCGCUGCUGCAGUCGUUGUCCUCAUCUCCGCAGCAGCCGUCGAGUAGGGUCGACACGACUUGGGUAAUUGCCCGGGACGCCGACAACGGCACGCCCGCAACGACGGUGGUAGACGGUACGGGCAGUGAACCUCGGUGCUCCUUCUUCAGCAGUCUCUCCUUCUCCGCGUGGGGCGGCGCUGCGGUGUCGCGCAGCAAUGCGAAUCGAUCGCCAAUGACGGCGGCGUUGCUCCGCCCCUUCCAGAAUCUGCGGAUGUGGUGCCGCAACAGAUGCGGAAUUUGCUGCGGAUGCCUUGGUAUCCGCGGUUCUUGGCUCAGCGGCUUCGGGCUCAGUGCGGACGACCUCGAUGACGGUGUCUCCAUCGCGAACGUUCCCGGCGACGUGCUCGGCGACUCGGGUGUCUCACGCGGGUCUGGAUACCAGAAAGAUGUACGGAAUGCAACCCCAACCACAACUUUGAACGCCCGCAUUGGCCAAGGCCAUCUGCAUCGGCACUACGCACCGCCGCGUUCUCGGUCUAGCGAGGCGGGUUGGGGCGGCGGUGCGUCUGCCGCAUCCACCUCGCCGAGGGAGCACCCGGAUGUGGUAAGGGAGGGCUGCAACGUGCCACGCUCAGACUCUCUCGAUGAGAGCUCUGUGGCUGGCUCGAGCACGCCCCCGUCUUCCCUGUCCUUCAGUCGGCAGCCACGCCGCCGGGGUGAGUGUGAGGGAGGACACCUCGUCAUGCAGCGCGGUGUCCUGAUGCGCAUGGCAGCCGACGGCACGUGCACUCGCGUGUCAGAGACGCCGGCCUACGCAUCGGGAUGCCAUAGCCCUCCUCCAAGUACGCACCUGCCAGGUCGAACUAAUGACGGCCGUGUCUUGCAGUUAGGCCAACCGGAUCCGUUCACAGACGCGUACAGCCAUGCCGACUCCAGCCCGGCCGCAAGGGAGAUCGAGGACACGAGCAGCUCGCUCGCGGUGGCGAUGGCGCUGGCCGCGCUGGAGGCGAGUCGAAAGCCCCUCCAAACUCUCGAGCAGAUUUCCGCGGCCCUCACCAUGUGCGCACCAUACCUCCCUCUCCGUGUGGAGGUGGAGGCGGAUCUGAACAGCUCGACGCCCAUCCCUGCUGUCGGCACGGCGGCAAUGCCUGCCGAAACAGACUCGGCGUCUACAACGUCAACAGCCAUCCCUGCCCUGACUGCGGUCCCGCUCUACCUCCAUGUGCUGGGCCCUUUGCUACCGUGCCCGAACGCACAGGCAUUGCGGACAUUGGAGGAUAUCCUUUUGGAGGACUGCGAUGGCAGUCGGCUGCCCUUGUGUGCGCUGCACUGCGCGGACUUGGAUCUGCGGCGAUUGAGGAUGGGCGAAGACAGUGAUGACGCUCGCCCCGCCAUUGCCGCGGCCGCGCAGAGAGCGCAGAGCGACGCAUUUCUUGACCUGCUCCUGUCUCCCACGUCGGAUGCGCACUCGAGCUGCAUUGUGACCGCGUCACAGCUGCUAACUUUCCUGAGGCGCAUCGUUUCCACACGCGGUGCGCAGCUCACCACACUGCACUUCACUCGGUGCUACGUCGCGCCGCACGACGUGGGUCAGUCCAUCCCGCUGCCGCUAGCCACGUUGCAAAGGCUGCGGUUCGAGCACUGCUCGCUCACCCCAGCCCACAUUGCCGCGCUCGUGGCGCUCGCGCGGCAGCAGGAUGCGCUGGCGUCGGCGAAGUUUGCGGAGGCACGUGGCGUAGGCGGCUUGUCGUCUUCCCGCCGCCGCUCAUUCGGCAUCCUGGAGGAACUGCAGCUGAGUGGGUCUCUUACGCCUGAGUGCAUCUCCGAGCUGCUGGACUACGUGGAGGAACAGCAGCAGUGCAGCGAGGGCUGCGGCCGGGAGGUCGCCUUGCGGCUUCUGUGCGUGCCGUCGUCGGUGGUGCGCGCGGCGAGCGCGCACCCGUUCGUGCAGGCCAACGGCAGUCGAAUUAGCGUGGUGAGUGCGCAAGUGUAGCUGAAAGGGGGGCAGCUCGAUAAGGUGUCUUCCGCCGGUCGACGAGCGUACCGCGCAGAGCUGCAAGAGCACAGAGACGGCACGAAACACUUGAGUGUGUGCGUCGGUGCUCCCAGCAGCUCUUGGCCUGUGCCAGAGCUGCUGCCCUUUGUCGGGAGUUUAUCACCUCCCGGCAUCCAGUCUUCAGCGCCACUGCACCACGCCGAUGCCUCUAGUCUGUCUUCAGCCGAUUAUCUGCCCAUCGCUUACACCCACACGCUUUUCUCCUUUAUAUAUAUUAUUAUUUUUUUUUUUGAAUGUGGCGUGUACUCUCCCCUUCCCACCGGCACCCCGGCAAUUUGGCUCGGAGGCUCUUCUUGUCUGGCGGCCAAGGUCUUGAGGGGGUGGUGACUGCCGUCGUCAGCAUCUUGACAGGGAGAACUGAACUCGACGCUGUAAAGUGCCGCCCCUCUGAGCGGCAUACUGCUUCGUAAAGGUUCAUCACCUGCCGAUGACUGACAUCCACCCACGCCCUCAUUCAUGCCUGUGCUUUUUCACGUUUUUUUUUUCGUUUUUUUUUUGUUCGUUGCUUCGUUCUGCUGCCUCCCUCUCAGCUUCCUCUGUGCCUCCUGCUGCUCGGCGCUGGUGCGCUGUUGGCUGGGGUUUCUUUCCGGGCGUUGCUUUGGGGCAUCUCGCCUCUCCCUCCCUCCCUUCCUUCUGCCCUCGCUGGCGCUGGGGCGCACGCUUCUUUGCAAGCUGUGGCGCUUGACUCUGCCUGCAUCCGUGUGUGUAUGUGUGUGCCACUUCACUGAGCGAGGCGUCGCCACGCCGAGAGUGUCGUACGGGCUGAGACGACGGGGAGAACGCCGCGCUGCUUUGCUUGUGUUUUCUUUUCAUUUGUCUUUUUCGCAGUGGCUUUGACGCCGCGACGCGCGUGCGUGGUAGCGGCGUUCUCCUUCCCUUCAAACCUGCCCUAGGCCGACUCAUGUGAUGCUACCUGAGAAGGUCAUCAAGAGGAGACACAGCUUCGCAUGUGAAAAGAGCGCACACUUUCAUGCGCUGAUUGCGGCGGAUGAUCAAGGCUGCCCUCUUCAUCGCGAGACAAGGCGUUUGAGGGGAGUCUCUGAUGUCGCGUCGAGCGUCUUUUCCGCAGGUGCCCCAGUGUCGGCACGCUUCAAGGAAGUCUGCGAUCUGCCGCGUACAUCGCUGCGGCAGGAGAACGCGACGGCGGCACUGUUGUGGGCUCGGAAGGGUUGACCUGCGGUGUAGGGCGGCCCUUGGCGUCCCGGAACAGGAACUCGUGACUCUCCCUAGACACAAGCAAGUCGCACUGGUCAGUGCCAGCACCCCCCUUGCGCCGAGGCGAAUUCGGCGUGAAGGCCUCGUCGGUGAAGGACCUCGGCGUGGAGCCGGCUGAGGUGCUGUGCGAGAUCCAGCGCCUGCAGGGCUCACGCGAUGUGCCGGCUCUGCCCCCGCUUUCCGAACGGCUCCCUUGACCUCUAGAGCACUGCCUCACUGGAUGGCGAUGCUGUGGAGGUGAUGCGAGCGAGUCCGCCCGAGGCGCGGGACUUCCUGCAUCGGGCGCAGAGGCACUUUGACCGUCUCCGGGCGUCGAGGAUAGGGAAAAAGCGCCGCCUGCCGGUGGCCGACGCCGCGCCGGCGUUCGCAGUCGAGAAGGGUCGGGCCGCGCCUCCCUAAUACUGACGACAUGAUGGAGAAGGGCUCUCCCGGGUGGAGAGGGUGCGCAGCGUAAAGUUUUUUUUUGGUCGCUCGAGAGAUGAAAGGACGCCGCUGCCCGACCACGGAUCCACACCUUAAUGCGUUCUGGCAAAGAGCAAGAGAUACCGUGGGUGGCAUGUCCGUCUUGCUUGGCGCGGCGGCAAGAGCCACGCAACAGGAAGUGGGCGCUUCGGGCCGAUUUUGGAGGCUUCUCACACUGCACUCCCGAUUUCGGGUACGGCUCGCAGCAAGCUCGUGCUCAUGUCCACAAGCGGCGAAUGCUUCAGGUGGCGCACCCCACCGGCCGGUGCGUUCUGGUGCGCUACCGUAGGCCAGUGUCUGACCGGGUCAAUUGUGGGCAGCGCCACUCUCUUCGACGGUGACGCCCAUGAGUGCCAAUAUAUUGUUCUGCGCAGAAGAGGUUCAGGAGGGUGGGCUUGUGUCAGCGGUGCGUCGCAUCGUUGAUCGGAUGCGCGCGGCGAACCCCCUCUCACGUCCCCAGGGCGCGAGCUGAUCGCGCACAUGGAGGACGAGUCGUCGUUGGCUUUGGCUGCCGUGCCGCAUACAUUUUUUCGGCAGUGCAGUGCAUCUUGAAGGGAAGGGAUAGAUCGGUGCACAGGCCACGGCCAAGAAUGUUGCAAAUACUGCACCGUGGUCCAGCGAAAGCCAAGAGCACGCCAUCGGCUUGUUCGCGUCGAUCCUGUCUCCCUUUACGCUCUUCAUGCUGCACACCACCCUCCUCAAUUCUGCGCGGGCACGCAG
Molecule: unclassified non-coding RNA, 4796 nt
Filed under: Leishmania donovani
Lineage: Eukaryota; Euglenozoa; Kinetoplastea; Trypanosomatida; Trypanosomatidae
Description: gene:LdHU3.28.1390(CDS-product:hypothetical_prote in_conserved)
Source: RNAcentral